UUUGAUGGCGACCGGCGCACGGGUGAGUAACACGUAUCCAACCUGCCGAUGACUCGGGGAUAGCCUUUCGAAGGAAAGAUUAAUACCCGAUGGCAUAGUUCUUCCGCAUGGUAGAACUAUUAAAGAAUUUCGGUCAUCGAUGGGGAUGCGUUCCAUUAGGUUGUUGGCGGGGUAACGGCCCACCAAGACUACGAUGGAUAGGGGUUCUGAGAGGAAGGUCCCCCACAUUGGAACUGAGACACGGUCCAA
RNAcentral lists this ribosomal RNA (249 nucleotides) under uncultured bacterium. Its description in RNAcentral is "partial 16S ribosomal RNA". It matches the Rfam family "Bacterial small subunit ribosomal RNA", at positions 84 to 334 of the family's 1533-position model. The record is from RNAcentral.